This 942-nucleotide unclassified non-coding RNA is filed under the name Drosophila ananassae. RNAcentral's name for it is "GF13791". The record is from RNAcentral. Lineage: Eukaryota; Metazoa; Arthropoda; Insecta; Diptera; Drosophilidae.
UAUCGAUAGAAGUUAUAGGAAUCAGCUGCAGGAGGUCAAAAUAGAAAAACAGCUAAAACAUGUCAAUAAUAUUGAGACAAAACUUUCGGUCGUCCUGGCUCCUCAAGCAAGCAUGCCCCAGCUUAGCCUACAGCUCCAGUGCCCAGUCCGGAGACGCUGCCGCCAAGACAAUUCCCAAGAAUCUAUUAGAAGAUAAGCAAACGGCCGUUCUGCAAAAGGAGAACGGAGCCAUCUUCGACAAGCGUCCAUUCAAAAUUCAUCUGGACAAAGAUAAGACCUACAGCUGGUGUCUGUGCGGCAAGUCCAAGUCCCAGCCCCUUUGCGACGGGAUGCACAAAAACGAGUUCCUCAAGAUAAAGCAGAGGCCCAUUCGGUUCAAAGUGGAGAAGACUGGAGACUAUUGGCUGUGCAACUGCAAACAAACCACCCACCGGCCGUUCUGCGACGGGACCCACAAGCAGCCGCACAUCCAGACGGCCGUUAAAUAGUUUUGUGCUUCGGCGAAUUAUGUGAAAAUGAUAAAUGCAUUAAUUUUGAAUCAAGCAACACGUGGUUUUUAUUCUAGAGUAUAGAACGUUAAUUAUAAUCUCGAUUAGUGAAUGAGCCAUGAACGUACAUCUAAGUCUCGAUCAAAAGCAGGAAUGGGGGUGGUGUGUUCAGACGAAAUCCGCAAAAUAAAAGUGUUUGUGUUUAUAAAUAAAAGAGAUGUUCGUUUUUAUUUAACUUUUAACGUUGUUCUACCUGAUUUUACAUAUAAAUACAGAACUUAAUCGAGUUGAGAGCAAAGUCACUUAUCAUAUGUGUGUGUAUAAUUUUGUUAUGCAGCCAAUUAAUCAAAAAUCGAAAGUAAAAAUACGCGUUAGUCGAAUGUCAUCUCAUUGCUAAAUAUUUUCACAUUACAAAAAUUCGGGGCAUUUUAUCCACUACAUACACUCAAAACGA